Molecule: ribosomal RNA, 428 nt
Filed under: uncultured bacterium
Lineage: Bacteria
Description: bacterial SSU rRNA
Rfam family: Bacterial small subunit ribosomal RNA
Source: RNAcentral
UAGGGAAUCUUCGGCAAUGGCCGAAAGUCUGACCGAGCAACGCCGCGUGAGUGAAGAAGGUUUUCGGAUCGUAAAACUCUGUUGUUAGAGAAGAAUGUUGAUUAGAGUGGAAAAUUAAUCAAGUGACGGUAUCUAACCAGAAAGGGACGGCUAACUACGUGCCAGCAGCCGCGGUAAUACGUAGGUCCCGAGCGUUGUCCGGAUUUAUUGGGUGUAAAGCGAGCGCAGGUGGUUUAAUGAGUCUGAUGUAAAAGGCAGUGGCUCAACCAUUGUGUGCAUUGGAAACUGUUAGACUUGAGUGCAGUAGAGGAGAGUGGAAUUCCAUGUGUAGCGGUGAAAUGCGUAGAUAUAUGGAGGAACACCGGUGGCGAAAGCGGCUCUCUGGACUGUCACUGACACUGAGGCUCGAAAGCGUGGGUAGCAAACAG